Molecule: long non-coding RNA, 271 nt
Filed under: Phoenix dactylifera (date palm)
Lineage: Eukaryota; Viridiplantae; Streptophyta; Magnoliopsida; Arecales; Arecaceae
Description: long non-coding RNA (PDAC_LNC010771)
Source: RNAcentral
UUGAAGGCAGGAGGAGACUUCUUUAAAUGCUGGGAAGAGGUAGCUGGAUGGAGUUAAUGGCGCUCUUCCUUCUUUUCUGUUGAAAACCAGUUGGCCGAGAUAGGAUGCUUGAUUUCUUUGAGUGGAAUGGUGCUUCUCUACCUUGCUACAGUCCUCUGUGGCUAUUUAAGCCAUCCCCCAUGGAAACUAGCCGUUAGACACUUUUUUCUGUCCGUUCUGCACACUCUGCACAUCCUGACAAUAUGUCCGUUGGGGUCGGAGUCGACUCGCG